UACAAUCACUGAAGUUAAGCAACGUCGAGCUUGGUCAGUACUUAGAUGGGUGACCGUUUGGGAAUUCCAGGUGCUGUAAG
Molecule: ribosomal RNA, 80 nt
Filed under: Acanthosepion pharaonis
Lineage: Eukaryota; Metazoa; Mollusca; Cephalopoda; Sepiida; Sepiidae
Source: RNAcentral